This 253-nucleotide ribosomal RNA is filed under the name uncultured bacterium. Its description in RNAcentral is "partial 16S ribosomal RNA". It matches the Rfam family "Bacterial small subunit ribosomal RNA", at positions 524 to 776 of the family's 1533-position model. The record is from RNAcentral.
GACGAAGGGGGCUAGCGUUGUUCGGAAUUACUGGGCGUAAAGGGCGCGUAGGCGGCCUGCUAAGUCGAACGUGAAAUCCCUGGGCUCAACCCAGGAACUGCGUCCGAUACUGGUUGGCUUGAAUCCGGGAGAGGGAUGUGGAAUUCCAGGUGUAGCGGUGAAAUGCGUAGAUAUCUGGAGGAACACCGGUGGCGAAGGCGACAUUCUGGACCGGUAUUGACGCUGAGGCGCGAAAGCCAGGGGAGCAAACGGG